RNAcentral lists this ribosomal RNA (497 nucleotides) under uncultured bacterium. Its description in RNAcentral is "partial 16S ribosomal RNA". It matches the Rfam family "Bacterial small subunit ribosomal RNA", at positions 28 to 507 of the family's 1533-position model. The record is from RNAcentral.
GACGAACGCUGGCGGCGUGCCUAAUACAUGCAAGUCGAGCGAACAGACGAGGAGCUUGCUCCUUUGACGUUAGCGGCGGACGGGUGAGUAACACGUGGAUAACCUACCUAUAAGACUGGGAUAACUUCGGGAAACCGGAGCUAAUACCGGAUAAUAUAUUGAACCGCAUGGUUCAAUAGUGAAAGACGGUUUUGCUGUCACUUAUAGAUGGAUCCGCGCCGCAUUAGCUAGUUGGUAAGGUAACGGCUUACCAAGGCAACGAUGCGUAGCCGACCUGAGAGGGUGAUCGGCCACACUGGAACUGAGACACGGUCCAGACUCCUACGGGAGGCAGCAGUAGGGAAUCUUCCGGAAAGGGCGAAAGCCUGACGGAGCAACGCCGCGUGAGUGAUGAAGGUCUUCGGAUCGUAAAACUCUGUUAUUAGGGAAGAACAAAUGUGUAAGUAACUAUGCACGUCUUGACGGUACCUAAUCAGAAAGCCACGGCUAACUACGUG